GUAGACCAGACCCAACGGUUCUUGCAUUGGUGUCUAUGGGAGACACACGCAGUUAAGUGGACCAGAACUGACCUUUUUGUUAUGGAUGUGAAUUGGCUGGACCAAGAGUUCUUCCCACACCUGUCUGAGCUCUCUGACCUCACCUUCCUUUCCCCACUGGGAGACAACCCCGGGACUGGGAAGAAUGCCGUUCCAAGUCUGCCACCUUCAACGCCCCUCGGUAACACAUCCCUGACCCCAUGGAACAUAUCUCCACCCAUCAUCAUGGCAAACCCAAGGACAAGAGAAGGAAGGCAACAAUUCCUCUGGAUUCUAUUGGAAGCACCCUUACAUCCAACCAGCAGAGCAGACAGGAUGAACCAGAAGACUACUGGGAAUAUGACUGAAUUAUCUCCACUCAUCCAAUGCUGACUUUACGGUUCAAAUCAGAAUUCAUUGUGAAUGUUAGUUGGUUGUUUUGUAAAGAUGAAUUCCCACAAAGAGUUUUGAAAGCAUGUUAAUAUUUAUUUAUAUUUAAGAUAUUUAACCUGCUUAGAUGUUAGGGACUGAACACCCUCUAGUGGUUGUGUAUGUACAACGACAAACAUCCUGUGUGCCUAACAUCAAUAAAAUGCAUUCCUUAUAUUUACCGAAGUCACAUAUAUUGGGGAAAAACAAGAGAACAGGUGAUCCCCAAAAAAGAUUUUAUUUUUCAAGCUACAGUUAAAGAAAAACAAUACCAGAGGCCGAAAAUAUAACAUCUGCUAGGCUUUCUUUUCCUCUCUUUUCACUUUCAAAUAUGUACAGUUAUCGAAGAACAGGGUAUAUACAGAGAAUCGAAGGGAAGGGUGGUGGAGAGAGUGCAUUUGCUUUUUGGGGACUAAACAUGACUCUCCCACCAACAAAAAGCAAGGUAAAACCAACCAACAUAAAAGGACCUGCCACAACUCUGGUGAUAUCAACUUACUUUUCUGUACAAUACAAACAGUCUACUUUGUUUCACGAAUGAGAAUUAUGAGGGUGAGGGAUUUGUAUGUUCUCUGAUUUGGAAACAAAUCUCAACUAGCGUUUUCUGAGCAUUUAAACAAAAAAAAUGAUAACAUGAAAGAAAUACAAAAUAUAUAUUUUACAACCAUUCAUGCAAAAAGAUGUUCAAGCCACUUCUACAAGGUGAAGUGGCUCCAACUUUUUCCGUCACGACAGUUUACAACAAUCACAUCAAUCUCCCAAACCAGAAGUCUCUAAUGAAAAGCAAAACGCACAAAUGUGAAUAAAAACAACAAAAAAAGCACAGAACAAGCAUUGGAGGAUUUUGAAGUCUGUCGCCAAGUCAAACCGCAACCAAAGGGUAGUCAUGGUAUUCCAUUGUCAUGCAGAGAGAACUCAAAGUAAUCAAGUGGUGAUGUAGCAGAUGUUGACCCACUCCUCAAAGCUCAUACUGCACCAGUUGACAAAGAAAAUAUAUUUAAAAAUAUAUAUAUUUACUGGUUAUGGGCUGGAUCUAAAAACUUUACAGCACAGCCCUUAGUUUAAAAGUUAGUGUAUUAGCAAUUGCCAAAAGCAAUUAACUUUCAAAUGAAAUAACCACAAAAAAAAGGGGUGUUUGGUUUGGGCUUGACUUUUAGUGCACUGUUGUAGCACAAGUUUGUGCAUAUUUCUAUGGAAUAGAUUGAACAUUUCAAAUUUGAUAUGGUAUUGUUUCAAUCAGAAAACCUCUGAUGAGAGAAAUCCUAGAGGGGCUUAACACUGUGGCAAGCGGUACUGAGUGUAAUAGACAGAAACUAAUAAAAAAAUGCCAAAAUUGAAAGCUUACAUAAGAAAAAAGUAGCAAAAAAACAACAUGAGAGACACUUUCUAGACCUAAAAGGAUUUUUGUUGUUGUGCCUCUGCCAUGGUGUGGCAGUCGCAUUGAACACUGGUUACAGAGGGUCUGACAAAAGUGGAUGUACCAUUAUAAAAUACUAGCUUUUUCCUUUGAACGUUGACAGAAAAGCAGCCCAUCAAAUGUCCCAAAUAAAUAAUUAUCUAUACCUUGUGAUGCACCUUAUGCUAUGACCUUAAUGUAAAAGCCAGGAAAUGGAUCGCUGUACGGUUGCCUUAGCAUUUCAAUGAAGAAAAAAAAGGAAGCCAGUCUCAAUUUAGUAAGACUACUGAGCAAAAGUGUGUCUAUUUGUAUGUUACAGAUAAUAAAAAGAUCUCCUUCCAAUGUCUUCCUGUUUUAGUACAGUUUUCACAGAGGCAGAACGUGACAAAGAACCUACAUGAAUAAGUGGGGAUG
Long non-coding RNA from Oncorhynchus nerka (sockeye salmon), 2257 nucleotides. RefSeq lists it as uncharacterized. The transcript has 4 exons. The record is from RefSeq and is a predicted model, not a curated record. Lineage: Eukaryota; Metazoa; Chordata; Actinopteri; Salmoniformes; Salmonidae.